RNAcentral lists this ribosomal RNA (878 nucleotides) under uncultured Bacteroidota bacterium. Its description in RNAcentral is "bacterial SSU rRNA". It matches the Rfam family "Bacterial small subunit ribosomal RNA", at positions 31 to 899 of the family's 1533-position model. Lineage: Bacteria; Pseudomonadati; Bacteroidota. The record is from RNAcentral.
GAACGCUAGCUACAGGCUUAACACAUGCAAGUCGAGGGGAAACGACAUCGAAAGCUUGCUUUUGAUGGGCGUCGACCGGCGCACGGGUGAGUAACGCGUAUCCAACCUGCCCACCACUUGGGGAUAACCUUGCGAAAGUAAGACUAAUACCCAAUGAUAUCUCUAGAAGACAUCUGAAAGAGAUUAAAGAUUUAUCGGUGAUGGAUGGGGAUGCGUCUGAUUAGCUUGUUGGCGGGGUAACGGCCCACCAAGGCGACGAUCAGUAGGGGUUCUGAGAGGAAGGUCCCCCACAUUGGAACUGAGACACGGUCCAAACUCCUACGGGAGGCAGCAGUGAGGAAUAUUGGUCAAUGGGCGAGAGCCUGAACCAGCCAAGUAGCGUGCAGGAUGACGGCCCUAUGGGUUGUAAACUGCUUUUAUAAGGGAAUAAAGUGAGUCUCGUGAGACUUUUUGCAUGUACCUUAUGAAUAAGGACCGGCUAAUUCCGUGCCAGCAGCCGCGGUAAUACGGAAGGUCCGGGCGUUAUCCGGAUUUAUUGGGUUUAAAGGGAGCGUAGGCCGGAGAUUAAGCGUGUUGUGAAAUGUAGAUGCUCAACAUCUGAACUGCAGCGCGAACUGGUUUCCUUGAGUACGCACAAAGUGGGCGGAAUUCGUGGUGUAGCGGUGAAAUGCUUAGAUAUCACGAAGAACUCCGAUUGCGAAGGCAGCUCACUGGAGCGCAACUGACGCUGAAGCUCGAAAGUGCGGGUAUCGAACAGGAUUAGAUACCCUGGUAGUCCGCACGGUAAACGAUGGAUGCCCGCUGUUGGUCUGAACAGGUCAGCGGCCAAGCGAAAGCAUUAAGCAUCCCACCUGGGGAGUACGCCGGCAACGGUGCAA